UGGGGAAUAUUGCACAAUGGGCGCAAGCCUGAUGCAGCCAUGCCGCGUGUGUGAAGAAGGCCUUCGGGUUGUAAAGCACUUUCAGCGGGGAGGAAGGCGAUAAGGUUAAUAACCUUGUCGAUUGACGUUACCCGCAGAAGAAGCACCGGCUAACUCCGUGCCAGCAGCCGCGGUAAUACGGAGGGUGCAAGCGUUAAUCGGAAUUACUGGGCGUAAAGCGCACGCAGGCGGUUUGUUAAGUCAGAUGUGAAAUCCCCGGGCUCAACCUGGGAACUGCAUCUGAUACUGGCAAGCUUGAGUCUCGUAGAGGGGGGUAGAAUUCCAGGUGUAGCGGUGAAAUGCGCAGAGAUCUGGAGGAAUACCGGUGGCGAAGGCGGCCCCCUGGACGAAGACUGACGCUCAGGUGCGAAAGCGUGGGGAGCAAACAGG
This 429-nucleotide ribosomal RNA is filed under the name Chloroflexota bacterium. RNAcentral describes it as "Chloroflexi bacterium partial 16S ribosomal RNA". It matches the Rfam family "Bacterial small subunit ribosomal RNA", at positions 355 to 776 of the family's 1533-position model. Lineage: Bacteria; Bacillati; Chloroflexota. The record is from RNAcentral.